This 450-nucleotide ribosomal RNA is filed under the name uncultured bacterium. RNAcentral describes it as "bacterial SSU rRNA". It matches the Rfam family "Bacterial small subunit ribosomal RNA", at positions 354 to 796 of the family's 1533-position model. The record is from RNAcentral.
GUGGGGAAUCUUCCGCAAUGGACGAAAGUCUGACGGAGCAACGCCGCGUGAGUGAUGACGGCCUUCGGGUUGUAAAGCUCUGUGAUCGGGGACGAAUGGCUGGUAUGCUAAUACCAUAUCAGAGUGACGGUACCCGAAUAGCAAGCCACGGCUAACUACGUGCCAGCAGCCGCGGUAAUACGUAGGUGGCAAGCGUUGUCCGGAAUUAUUGGGCGUAAAGCGCGCGCAGGCGGAUCAGUCAGUCUGUCUUAAAAGUUCGGGGCUUAACCCCGUGAUGGGAUGGAAACUGCUGAUCUAGAGUAUCGGAGAGGAAAGUGGAAUUCCUAGUGUAGCGGUGAAAUGCGUAGAGAUUAGGAAGAACACCGGUGGCGAAGGCGACUUUCUGGACGACAACUGACGCUGAGGCGCGAAAGCGUGGGGAGCAAACAGGAUUAGAAACCCCAGUAGUCC